AUUGAACGCUGGCGGCAUGCCUUACACAUGCAAGUCGAACGGCAGCACGGGUGCUUGCACCUGGUGGCGAGUGGCGAACGGGUGAGUAAUACAUCGGAACAUGUCCUGUAGUGGGGGAUAGCCCGGCGAAAGCCGGAUUAAUACCGCAUACGAUCCACGGAUGAAAGCGGGGGACCUUCGGGCCUCGCGCUAUAGGGUUGGCCGAUGGCUGAUUAGCUAGUUGGUGGGGUAAAGGCCUACCAAGGCGACGAUCAGUAGCUGGUCUGAGAGGACGACCAGCCCAAAUGGGACUGAGACACGGCCCAGACCCCUACGGGAGGGAGGAGUGGGGAAUUUUUGGCAAAGGGGGAAAGCCUGAAUCAGCAAAGGCGGGUGUGGUAAGAAGGCCUUCGGGGUGGAAAACCACUUUUGUCGGAAAGAAAACCCUUGCCCCAAAAACGGCCGGGGGUGACGGGACCGGAAAAAAAAGCACCGGCUAACUACGUG
RNAcentral lists this ribosomal RNA (486 nucleotides) under uncultured bacterium. RNAcentral describes it as "partial 16S ribosomal RNA". It matches the Rfam family "Bacterial small subunit ribosomal RNA", at positions 29 to 507 of the family's 1533-position model. The record is from RNAcentral.